UCCAGACUCCUACGGGAGGCAGCAGUGAGGAAUAUUGGUCAAUGGUCGGGAGACUGAACCAGCCAAGCCGCGUGAGGGAGGAAGGUACAGAGUAUCGUAAACCUCUUUUGUCAGGGAACAAAGACUGGGACGCGUCCCCGGAUGAGUGUACCUGAAGAAAAAGCAUCGGCUAACUCCGUGCCAGCAGCCGCGGUAAUACGGAGGAUGCGAGCGUUAUCCGGACUUAUUGGGUUUAAAGGGUGCGUAGGCUGUGAGGUAAGUCAGCGGUGAAAUGCCCCCGCUCAACGGGGUGAAGUGCCAUUGAUACUGCCUUGCUGGAAUGCGGAUGCCGUGGGAGGAAUGUGUGGUGUAGCGGUGAAAUGCAUAGAUAUCACGCAGAACUCCGAUUGCGAAGGCAGCAUACCGGCGCCCUACUGACGCUGAGGCACGAAAGCGUGGGUAUCGAACAGGAUUAGAUACCCCAGUA
Molecule: ribosomal RNA, 466 nt
Filed under: uncultured bacterium
Lineage: Bacteria
Description: bacterial SSU rRNA
Rfam family: Bacterial small subunit ribosomal RNA
Source: RNAcentral